This 223-nucleotide ribosomal RNA is filed under the name uncultured bacterium. Its description in RNAcentral is "partial 16S ribosomal RNA". It matches the Rfam family "Bacterial small subunit ribosomal RNA", at positions 111 to 334 of the family's 1533-position model. The record is from RNAcentral.
UAACACGUGGGUGACCUGCCUUUAGCUCUGGGAUAAGCCUGGGAAACUGGGUCUAAUACCGGAUAUGACCUCAUGAUGCAUGUUGUGGGGUGGAAAGCCUUGUGCGGCUAGAGAUGGGCCCGCGGCCUAUCAGCUUGUUGGUGGGGUGAUGGCCUACCAAGGCGACGACGGGUAGCCGGCCUGAGAGGGCGACCGGCCACACUGGGACUGAGACACGGCCCAG